RNAcentral lists this ribosomal RNA (324 nucleotides) under Triticum aestivum (bread wheat). RNAcentral's name for it is "partial small subunit ribosomal RNA". The record is from RNAcentral. Lineage: Eukaryota; Viridiplantae; Streptophyta; Magnoliopsida; Poales; Poaceae.
AUGUUUCAGUCCUAUAGGCUUGUGAAGUUGAAGAGCAACAGCUUACAAUAUGGUGUAUUCCUUAAAAAAAUUGCACACAAUUUUCGGGAUGGCCUAACACAAGUACUUAAACAAACACAUAUGCGAUUGCCACCACAUGCCGGUGCACAAGCCAAUCGCUCUGCAUUUGGUGCAUUCCAUCUCACCAUGAACAUGAAGUUCGGUUUACAUCUUAGUCGGGAUCAGAGGAAGAAUAAAGCUACUUCUGAUUGUGGCAUUAGCAGAUGGACAUUGGUUUUUCAUUUGUCAAGGAAAAGACAACAUACAGCAUCUUAUUUUUUGUGA